Molecule: long non-coding RNA, 456 nt
Organism: Macrobrachium nipponense
Lineage: Eukaryota; Metazoa; Arthropoda; Malacostraca; Decapoda; Palaemonidae
Exons: 4
Source: RefSeq, a predicted model, not a curated record
CAUACAUAACAUGACUUAACUUUGAUACUUUUUUGGUACAUUCCAGAAAACCAGGACCCCCUCCAUGAUGCAGGCUAUGGGGCCACAUAAAACUUUGUCCAGGGUUACUACAUAACAUAGCACGACAACUGUAAACUAUGUACUACUGUACUAAAGAACCCCCUGAAUGAUGUAGGCUAUGGGGCCACAUAAGACUUUGUCCAUCCAGGGUUACGUUGAAUGACAAAUUUAAACUAAAGAACCCCCUGAAUGAUGUAGGCUAUGGGGCCACAUAAGACUUUGUGCAUCCAGGGUUACGUUGAAAGACAAAUUUAAACUAAAAAGCUACCAGACUGGGAUUUUAGUGUACUCCAGGAUCUAACAAAUACUACUACGAAGUGUACAGUGCAUAAUAUAGUGUUUAGUGUAUAAUCUAACCUAAGGAUUAAGUGUAGUACAUUGUGCUUUAUAGUGUCA